AAAAGGAUGAAGAGUUAAAGUAUAAUAUACUCCAUAUACUUUAACUCUUCAUCCUUUUGGG
MicroRNA precursor from Bos grunniens (domestic yak), 61 nucleotides. Lineage: Eukaryota; Metazoa; Chordata; Mammalia; Artiodactyla; Bovidae. The record is from Ensembl.